AACGAACGCUGGCGGCAUGCCUAACACAUGCAAGUCGAACGAUGGUCUUCGGAUCAUAGUGGCGCACGGGUGCGUAACGCGUGGGAAUCUGCCCUUAGGUUCGGGAUAACAGUUGGAAACGACUGCUAAUACCGGAUGAUAUCGCGAGAUCAAAGAUUUAUCGCCUAGGGAUGAGCCCGCGUCUGAUUAGCUAGUAGGUGAGGUAACGGCCCACCAAGGCUACGAUCAGUAGCUGGUCUGAGAGGAUGAUCAGCCACACUGGAACUGAGACACGGUCCAGACUCCUACGGGAGGCAGCAGUGAGGAAUAUUGGGCAAUGCCCGGAAGGGUGACCCAGCAACGCCGCGUGGAGGAUGAAUGCCGUAAGGUUGUAAACUCCUGUUAGAGGGGAAGAAUAAUUCCGAUCGACUCGGAAAUUGACUGUACCCUCAGAGAAAGCCCCGGCUAACUACGUGCCAGCAGCCGCCGUAA
Molecule: ribosomal RNA, 471 nt
Filed under: uncultured bacterium
Lineage: Bacteria
Description: partial 16S ribosomal RNA
Rfam family: Bacterial small subunit ribosomal RNA
Source: RNAcentral